GUCUUUCCGUCUGUAGCGCACACAGGCUGCAGGGGGAACGGUUGGCUACAGGGACAGGAGUUCUCCUCGACGAAGGUAUACCCUGACAGGAAAAAUACUCACAUCGCUCCAUGGCGGUGUUUGUGGUACAAAUAAACAGAACCACGACCUGGCAGAGGCUAGGGUUGUCAACCGAGAUACGGACACGUUGUUACCCUACCAAUGGUAGACAAAGUCGGGUUUGGAUAGAGUGUUGACUGACGACUGACGGGAGAUGAUUAUCCCUGGCCAGUCGGCACAAUUAUGCCGGCCUGUUUGA
Long non-coding RNA from Manduca sexta (tobacco hornworm), 298 nucleotides. RefSeq lists it as uncharacterized. The record is from RefSeq and is a predicted model, not a curated record. The transcript has 3 exons. NCBI's taxonomy places the organism in Eukaryota, Metazoa, Arthropoda, Insecta, Lepidoptera, Sphingidae.